GAGCAUGUACUCCAAUCGGAAGAGAGAGCUGUCUCAGAAGCAGCUAAGUGUUGGUUCGAAUCCAAUCAUGCUUACCA
Molecule: transfer RNA, 77 nt
Filed under: Emticicia agri
Lineage: Bacteria; Pseudomonadati; Bacteroidota; Cytophagia; Cytophagales; Leadbetterellaceae
Description: Emticicia sp. 17J42-9 tRNA-Leu
Rfam family: tRNA
About the family: Transfer RNA (tRNA) molecules are approximately 80 nucleotides in length. Their secondary structure includes four short double-helical elements and three loops (D, anti-codon, and T loops). Further hydrogen bonds mediate the characteristic L-shaped molecular structure. tRNAs have two regions of fundamental functional importance: the anti-codon, which is responsible for specific mRNA codon recognition, and the 3' end, to which the tRNAs corresponding amino acid is attached (by aminoacyl-tRNA synthetases). tRNAs cope with the degeneracy of the genetic code in two manners: having more than one tRNA (with a specific anti-codon) for a particular amino acid; and 'wobble' base-pairing, i.e. permitting non-standard base-pairing at the 3rd anti-codon position.
Source: RNAcentral